GAACGCACCUUGCACCCUUUGGCAUUCCGAAGGGUAUGCUCGUUUGAGUGUCAUUGUACUCUCACACUUCCAAUUCUUUGGAUUGGGAGCGGUGGACUUGGGUGCUGCUGCUUACCGUGGCUCACCUCAAAUGUGUUAGUGCAACCGUUGGUUAGACAUAGUACGGCGUGAUAAGUAUCUUCGCUGGCGCCUCACUAGAGGGUGGCUGAUCAGGGCUCUGUGCUUCCAAUCGUCUUCGGACAUGGCUGACAACUUGACCUCAAAUCGAGUAGGACUACCCGCUGAACUUA
RNAcentral lists this unclassified non-coding RNA (290 nucleotides) under uncultured Sebacina. RNAcentral describes it as "sequence contains 5.8S rRNA gene". The record is from RNAcentral. Lineage: Eukaryota; Fungi; Basidiomycota; Agaricomycetes; Sebacinales; Sebacinaceae.